GAUGAAGAACGUAGCAAAAUGCGAUACUUGGUGUGAAUUGCAGAAUCCCGUGAACCAUCGAGUUUUUGAACGCAAGUUGCGCCCGAAGCCUUUUGGCCGAGGGCACGUCUGCCUGGGCGUCACGCAUCGCGUCGCCCCCCACAACUCUCCGUAAAGGGAACUUGUGUUUUGGGGGCGGAUAUUGGUCUCCCGUGCUCAUGGCGUGGUUGGCCGAAAUAGGAGUCCCUCCGGUGGACGCACGAACUAGUGGUGGUCGUAAAAACCCUCGUCUUUUGUUGCGUGCCGUUAGUCGCGAGGGAAACGCUUUAAAAACCCAAAUGUGUCGUCUCUUGACGGCGCUUCGACCGCGACCCCAGGUCAGGCGGGACUACCCGCUGAGUUUAAGCAUAUCAAUAAGCGGAGGA
RNAcentral lists this unclassified non-coding RNA (404 nucleotides) under soil metagenome. RNAcentral's name for it is "partial contains 5.8S ribosomal RNA, internal transcribed spacer 2, and large subunit ribosomal RNA". The stretch from base 1 to 122 matches the Rfam family "5.8S ribosomal RNA", at positions 35 to 154 of the family's 154-position model. The record is from RNAcentral.